RNAcentral lists this long non-coding RNA (887 nucleotides) under Fukomys damarensis (Damara mole-rat). Its description in RNAcentral is "lncRNA (ENSFDAG00000030621.1)". Lineage: Eukaryota; Metazoa; Chordata; Mammalia; Rodentia; Bathyergidae. The record is from RNAcentral.
GUCUGAGCAGCCUCAGGGUCCGAGUGGGCGGGGCCUAAGGUCAGGGAGCCAAGGAUUAAGGCGGGGCUGGCCGGAGAGGGCGGGGCGUGCCAUUGGCUAAGCAGGGGUGGGGUCAGGCGGAGCCUGAGAAACAAGUUCCCAAGGGUCCUGGGAACCCAAGAAGGCUACUGAGAGGGCGGGGCUUUCGGGAGGAGCCGAGGGGGCCGAAGGAGUUGGGAACCCGGUGUGUGAAACUGGACCCGGGAGUCCAGGGGUCUUCACACCUACAGGCCCAGGUCUGGUACUAUGUCCAACAGUGCGCGCUGAAGUGUUUGUUUUGGUUUUUCCUUUCUUAAGGUUUUGGGUUUUGUUUUGUUUCUCUACGUAGUUCUGGCCGGCCUUGGACUCGCUGUGUUGCCCAGGCUGGCCCUGAACUCUCGAUUUUGCAGCCUCAGUAUCCUGAGUGCAAAAAUGGGUGAUCAAACCCAGCUACAGUGGGUUUUAAAAGGCCAAACCACUGUGGAGGAACGGGGAGGAAAGCUGGAAGGCCAGAGGCUCUCAGAAGGGGAAAAGGGGGUCUACCUGGUGAGGAAAACCGCAGGUAAACUUCACCAGCGCACAAAGCGAAAAUGUUUCAUUUAACAGAUGCAGAAACAGCCCAAGGGAAUGUCGUACAGGCAGUAAGUGGAAGCCUAGAUCCCAGGGACUGGAGCAGCUGGUCUCUUCUGAAGGAGGUACCAGCCUGCCCGCUGGGGAAGGACAGGAGGCCACAUCUGCGCAGAGGAAAACACUGGGUGCUCUCUGGGAAGAAAGCGCCAAGUGCAGAUCUUGCGCCUUUCGUCAUGAGCGGGGAGGAAAACAGCUAGGGAGUCAUAGGCCAAGACAGGAAAAGAGGCAGCACAAUCCAG